UACAGAGGGUGCAAGCGUUAAUCGGAGUUACUGGGCGUAAAGGGCGCGUAGGCGGUUUAAUGGGUGUGAUGUGAAAGCCCCGAGCUUAACUUGGGAAGUGCAUCGCAAACUGUUGAGCUGGAGUACAAGAGAGGGUGGCGGAAUUUCCGGUGUAGCGGUGAAAUGCGUAGAGAUCGGAAGGAACGUCAAUGGCGAAGGCAGCCACCUGGCUUGAUACUGACGCUGAGGCGCGAAAGCGUGGGGAGCGAAC
RNAcentral lists this ribosomal RNA (250 nucleotides) under uncultured bacterium. RNAcentral's name for it is "partial 16S ribosomal RNA". It matches the Rfam family "Bacterial small subunit ribosomal RNA", at positions 524 to 773 of the family's 1533-position model. The record is from RNAcentral.